This 299-nucleotide ribosomal RNA is filed under the name uncultured bacterium. RNAcentral describes it as "partial 16S ribosomal RNA". It matches the Rfam family "Bacterial small subunit ribosomal RNA", at positions 337 to 652 of the family's 1533-position model. The record is from RNAcentral.
UCCUACGGGGGGCAGCAGUGGGGAAUAUUGCACAAUGGGGGAAACCCUGAUGCAGCGACGCCGCGUGAAGGAAGAAGUAUCUCGGUAUGUAAACUUCUAUCAGCAGGGAAGAAAACAGACGGUACCUGACUAAGAAGCCCCGGCUAACUACGUGCCAGCAGCCGCGGUAAUACGUAGGGGGCAAGCGUUAUCCGGAAUUACUGGGUGUAAAGGGAGCGUAGACGGUGAUGCAAGUCUGGAGUGAAAGGCGGGGGCCCAACCCCCGGACUGCUCUGGAAACUGUGUAACUUGAGUGCAGG